GCGGUUGUGGCGAAGUGGUUAACGCACCGGAUUGUGGCUCCGGCAUUCGUGAGUUCGAUUCUCAUCAACCGCC
RNAcentral lists this transfer RNA (73 nucleotides) under Longibaculum muris. It matches the Rfam family "tRNA". From Rfam's summary of the family: Transfer RNA (tRNA) molecules are approximately 80 nucleotides in length. The record is from Rfam by way of RNAcentral. Lineage: Bacteria; Bacillati; Bacillota; Erysipelotrichia; Erysipelotrichales; Coprobacillaceae.